RNAcentral lists this ribosomal RNA (433 nucleotides) under uncultured bacterium. RNAcentral's name for it is "partial 16S ribosomal RNA". It matches the Rfam family "Bacterial small subunit ribosomal RNA", at positions 29 to 507 of the family's 1533-position model. The record is from RNAcentral.
AGCGAACGCUGGCGGCAGGCUUAACACAUGCAAGUCGAACGAACUCUUCGGAGUUAGUGGCGGACGGGUGAGUAACACGUGGGAACGUGCCUUUUGGUUCGGAAUAACUCAGGGAAACUUGUGCUAAUACCGAAUGUGCCCUUCGGGGGAAAGAUUUAUCGCCAUUAGAGCGGCCCGCGUCUGAUUAGCUAGUUGGUGAGGUAACGGCUCACCAAGGCGACGAUCAGUAGCUGGUCUGAGAGGAUGACCAGCCACACUGGGACUGAGACACGGCCCAGACUCCUACGGGAGGCAGCAGUGGGGAAUCUUGCGCAAUGGGCGAAAGCCUGACGCAGCCAUGCCGCGUGAAUGAUGAAGGUCUUAGGAUUGUAAAAUUCUUUCACCGGGGACGAUAAUGACGGUACCCGGAGAAGAAGCCCCGGCUAACUUCGUG